GCCCGAUUAGCUCAGUUGGUUAGAGUACUUCUUUGACAUAGAAGAGGUCAGAGGUUCAACUCCUCUAUCGGGCA
Molecule: transfer RNA, 74 nt
Filed under: Endomicrobium sp.
Lineage: Bacteria; Pseudomonadati; Elusimicrobiota; Endomicrobiia; Endomicrobiales; Endomicrobiaceae
Description: tRNA-Val
Rfam family: tRNA
About the family: Transfer RNA (tRNA) molecules are approximately 80 nucleotides in length.
Source: RNAcentral